UUUUCUUCCUUUUUUAUCUUUUCUGCAGCCACUCGAGACGCUGCAGCCCAGCCUGUUUAUCUUGUGAGCUGCAGAGGCACUCACAGCCCCCGCUGCGGCUCCGUCCCCGGGUGAUUGCAUCUCUCCUAGGUGGGUGUUAAAGGACGGGACCAGACGACCAGAACCAUGGGAGGAAGAGCAGGCAGGCUGCAGGAGAGGAAGGAGGAAGGAACCACAGGAGAGGGUGUGGCGUGAGGCCGAUGGAAACCACAGCUAUCUGUUGGGCAGGAAAGAGAAACCAGAUACAGCUUCCUGGGCAAUGGAACUUCAGAGACAAGCACAGAGUUUGCUGGCAACUCCAGGAGGCUGAAGCCACCAUUCCCGCAGCCUUUGGGGGGCUGUCUCAGGAGCUGAAAUGGGCCAGUUACAAACAGAAUUGGUUCUGCCGUCAUAGAAAACCACAAAAGCAUAUGUGUUUUCAGACACAAAAGCUACCACACUUUCUUUAGAAAACAAGGCACAGGUGAAAAAAAAAAAAUCUCACUUCUAAACAGAAUGGAAAGCAUGGCUAACUUGAGAUUUAUUUAAUUACAGUGUCUUUCUCCGGGCUAAUCAGUUUUAAAACCCAUUCAUAUUGGUGCCGAUGAGCCAAUAAAAGAUCCAGAAGAAAAGAAGUAUUAUAUCA
Molecule: long non-coding RNA, 664 nt
Filed under: Bos mutus (wild yak)
Lineage: Eukaryota; Metazoa; Chordata; Mammalia; Artiodactyla; Bovidae
Description: lncRNA (ENSBMUG00000022668.1)
Source: RNAcentral